RNAcentral lists this long non-coding RNA (1866 nucleotides) under Phocoena sinus (vaquita). RNAcentral describes it as "lncRNA (ENSPSNG00000013970.1)". The record is from RNAcentral. Lineage: Eukaryota; Metazoa; Chordata; Mammalia; Artiodactyla; Phocoenidae.
GAAAAGAUAUACUGUGCAAAUAUAAACCAAAAGGAAAUUAUAUAAUAACAGAUACAGUAAACUUGAAAGCAAAAGCGUUACUAGAAAUAAACAAGGGCACUUCAUAUCAACAAGUCCAAUUUACCAGGAAGUUUUAAAUUUUGUAUGCACUUGACUUCAAAUUAUACAGAGCAACAGAGCUACAAGGAAAAAAUAGACAAAUUCAGUAUCAUAAUAGAGAUUUAACAUACUGCUAUCAUUCACUGAUAGAGGAUACCUCUUUCAGAACCAGUAGACCCCCCGCCCCAAAAAAUUAGUAAGGAUAUAAAAAACUUAAAUAACGUGAGCAGCAAAUUUGAUUCAACAAGCAGAUAUAUAUAUAGUCACUAUGCUCCAAAACUUUAGAUUACAAAUUAUUUUCAAGCACACUUGGAACAUUUUAAAAACUGACCAUAUUGUGCUAUAAGGCAAAUUUUAACAAAUUUCAAAACACACAUGUAUUGAGCACCUGUUGUAUGCCCUGAACUGGGGAGAUAAAUGGAUGAGACAUGCUUCUGCUCUGAAGGAACCAUUUAAUGGGGGAGAGAGACCCUAAAAGAAUCAUGUCAACAUCCCCAUAGUACUCUCCCUGUAGAUCUCCCCAGGAAGCUGUGGAGAGGCAGGGAGGGUUGUUUUGUUUGUCUGUUUGUUUUUUUGCGGUAUGCGGGCCUCUCACUGUUGUGGUCUCUCCCGUUGCGGGGCACAGGCUCCGGACACGCACGCAGGCUCAGCGGCCAUGGCUCACGGGCCCAGCCGCUCCGCGGCAUGUGGGAUCUUCCCGGACCGGAGCACGAACCCGUGUCCCCUGCAUCGGCAGGCUGACUCAACCACUGCGCCACCAGGGAAGCCCAAGGCAAAGGUAUUUUUGAAUUCGGUUCACAGGUAAGAAAACCGAAUACCCUAAGGUCGUUUACAUUGUAAUGGCAGAAUCAGAACCUGAACUCCUAGACUAGAUUCUCAGCCUGCGCUGCUCCAACCCUUGCCUCCUCCCAUUCUUGGAGCCCCACUGCCAUGCGACUGCCUGAGUCCCAGCGAGGGGCCCACGCAGACUCUGUCCACCUCCACCUGCCCCAGCAUCUGCCACCCCAAGCGGAGUGGGCCCUCGCCGCCUCCUUCCACACUCCCUUCCAGCUGCGUUGUUUUGUGACCUCAUUUUCCCUUUACGACUGCCCUUGGACUUGAUUUCUGCAGAACCAGAAUGUGGCGGGGAGAGCAGCAUACCCCAUGCUGCCCUGACCUCCCCAGAAGUACCCCCCUUUCCCCUGUCACACUGUCCAUGGCCUCUUCUUGCAUCUCCCUUCCAGGUGCACCCGAGGAGGGUCCAAAAGCUCAGAAGUUAGAAACAAAUGAUAGUUGCCAGGGACCCACCCAUGGGAAUUGCGGGAGGACUCUGCAUCUGGACCGUGGAUUUAUUUUUCUUUUAAUUCUUCUGAAGAGCAGCUUAAACACUCAAGUCCUUGGCUUUAUUUACUCUUAUCAUUUCCUCUUAUCCGGAUUGCAGCAUCUGCUACGCCUGGUUCCCAGGCUCUCUGCUGUGAAACAGACUCUUGAGCUCACAGCCUUGAUCCGGGCAGAGGCUCUUCAAUGUUAAAAAACAAUAAUGGGGACUCCCCUGGUGGUCCAGUGGUUAAGAAUCUGCCUUCCAUUGCAGGGCACGUGGGUUCAAUCUCUGGUCGGGGAACUAAGAUCCCACAUGCCACGGGGCAACUAAGAGAGCCCAGGUGCCACAACUACAGAGCCCACGCACUCUGGAGCCCGUGCACCACAACUAGAGAGAAGCCCACGUUGCAACGAAAGAUCCUGCGUGCCGUAACUAAGACCUGACGCAGCCAAAAUGAAUAAAUAUUU